GGAGACGUGGAAAGCGAAACCGCCGACUGGGAAGGGGGAACUACUGCCCUUGGGCCACCACGGCUUUCUGAGCAUAAUGGGCGUCCUCCAGGGCAGGAUUCCAAAUGCACCGUGGGUCCUGCUUGUUGGACUGGGGCACGUCCAGAGCCAAGAGCGAGGGCUCCAAUUUGGAAUGGAGGAGCGCAUGGAAGGAAGGCUGCCCCGGCCAGCUGGGGUGCCAGCAGGUCUAAGGGACUCUAUGCAGCUGGCUGACAUGUCCCGGAUACCGUGUUCCUGACACCUAAUGGUUUCUUCAUGUGAGGGGGGGGCCAUGGUCAGCAGCAGCUCUGAAGGCACACCCUGUUAACAAGAAUGGGAAGAGACCGUUUAUAUGUGCCAGGCACCAUCCUGGGCACUUCAAAGCCCGCAAGUCAAGAAGAAAGAGAAAAAAACAUUCUCCACUGCAAAUGUAGAGAAUCCACAGACAGAGUCUACAGUGGGCCGAUGUAAGUCAUGUCCCCACCACUAGAGCAAUUGCUGGGUCAAGAACCAGUGGAGCAACCGCCAGAUGUGGACAUCUGACUACACACUGGUUGAAAACAUCAAGUCAGUGUUAACCUUGCUGCACGAAGAUGCUGCAGGCAUGGUCCCCCAGGAAGAGGAGCCUCAUUCUCAUUCCGGCUUCAGAAGGGCACUAAAAGCACGUCAACCGAGUGAGUUUGGUUGCCCUCUUUCUAUGCCUGGACUGCAACUCAAGAAGGUAGAGUGGAGAGGCAAAUAAUAAAUUAAAUAAAAUGAAUGAAUGAAUGAAUGAAUGAAUGAAUGAAUGAAUAAAUAAGGCGUGUUUCUCA
Herpailurus yagouaroundi (jaguarundi) is the source of this 830-nucleotide long non-coding RNA. RefSeq lists it as uncharacterized. Lineage: Eukaryota; Metazoa; Chordata; Mammalia; Carnivora; Felidae. The transcript is spliced from 3 exons. The record is from RefSeq and is a predicted model, not a curated record.